RNAcentral lists this ribosomal RNA (465 nucleotides) under Vreelandella stevensii. RNAcentral's name for it is "partial 16S ribosomal RNA". It matches the Rfam family "Bacterial small subunit ribosomal RNA", at positions 338 to 795 of the family's 1533-position model. Lineage: Bacteria; Pseudomonadati; Pseudomonadota; Gammaproteobacteria; Oceanospirillales; Halomonadaceae. The record is from RNAcentral.
CCUACGGCUCGCUGCAGUGGGGAAUAUUGGACAAUGGGCGAAAGCCUGAUCCAGCCAUGCCGCGUGUGUGAAGAAGGCCUUCGGGUUGUAAAGCACUUUCAGUGGGGAAGAAAGCCUUGGGGCUAAUACCCUCGAGGAAGGACAUCACCCACAGAAGAAGCACCGGCUAACUCCGUGCCAGCAGCCGCGGUAAUACGGAGGGUGCGAGCGUUAAUCGGAAUUACUGGGCGUAAAGCGCGCGUAGGCGGUCUGAUAAGCCGGUUGUGAAAGCCCCGGGCUCAACCUGGGAACGGCAUCCGGAACUGUCAGGCUAGAGUGCAGGAGAGGAAGGUAGAAUUCCCGGUGUAGCGGUGAAAUGCGUAGAGAUCGGGAGGAAUACCAGUGGCGAAGGCGGCCUUCUGGACUGACACUGACGCUGAGGUGCGAAAGCGUGGGUAGCAAACAGGAUUAGAUACCCCAGUAGUC